This 459-nucleotide ribosomal RNA is filed under the name Lactobacillus crispatus. RNAcentral's name for it is "bacterial SSU rRNA". It matches the Rfam family "Bacterial small subunit ribosomal RNA", at positions 82 to 535 of the family's 1533-position model. Lineage: Bacteria; Bacillati; Bacillota; Bacilli; Lactobacillales; Lactobacillaceae. The record is from RNAcentral.
ACGCGUUGGGAGCUCUCCCAUAUGGUCGACCUGCAGGCGGCCGCGAAUUCACUAGUGAUUGGAAACAGGUGCUAAUACCGGAUAAGAAAGCAGAUCGCAUGAUCAGCUUUUAAAAGGCGGCGUAAGCUGUCGCUAUGGGAUGGCCCCGCGGUGCAUUAGCUAGUUGGUAAGGUAAAGGCUUACCAAGGCGAUGAUGCAUAGCCGAGUUGAGAGACUGAUCGGCCACAUUGGGACUGAGACACAGCCCAAACUCCUACGGGAGGCGGCAGUAGGGAGUCUUCCACAAUGGACGCAAGUCUGAUGGAGCAACGCCGCGUGAGUGAAGAAGGUUUUCGGAUCGUAAAGCUCUGUUGUUGGUGAAGAAGGAUAGAGGUAGUAACUGGCCUUUAUUUGACGGUAAUCAACCAGAAAGUCACGGCUAACUACGUGCCAGCAGCCGCGGUAAUACGAUAAUCGAAU